This is a long non-coding RNA of Acromyrmex echinatior (Panamanian leafcutter ant), 958 nucleotides long. RefSeq lists it as uncharacterized. NCBI's taxonomy places the organism in Eukaryota, Metazoa, Arthropoda, Insecta, Hymenoptera, Formicidae. The record is from RefSeq and is a predicted model, not a curated record.
UCUUUUACUUCUGUGCUUGCUAACAUUUCUAUCAGACUUGCUAAUUUUAUAGCCGUCAAAACCUGAUUUCUUUAACUUUUUGACAGUUUGCAAAAUAUAAUUUUUCAAUCUCCUUGAAUCGAAUUUUUGUUGAGUAAUAGUUUUCCUAGGACAACAACGAUGACCCUGAUAUCGCCACCUGAUGCGAAACAAAAUUAUUAAUGGUUUAUAGUUCCCACACUAUUUGCGCUUUUUCUUGUAUUUUGAAGAAGAUUUUUAUUCGGUAUAAGGAAAAUAAAUAAAAUGGAAGUACAAAGGAUACAUUUCAUCGCGAAUACUACAGAUGCCAGUGUCUCUUGAAUAACGUCGAGAGAACCAGUUUACAACAGUCACGUAUAAUUGCAACAAAAAGAGCAGUUUGUAAUAAUUACCACAAUGCGCAGGUUGUAACUGUGGAACUGAACAUAAAAAUGCAAUUCAGCACUGUCAAGACUAUUAGUGAUUCCAGCAUGACUUGCUCGCUGUCACUUUAAAUGAAGGAAUACCUUCGCAGAAUUGACAGGUGAUCGGAAAGGGAAGAUAUACAGGAAGUACGUACAGAUUAUCAUAACUGUUGACAGGGGAACCAGCCAAUCAGUAAUUCUGCUAUGCCAUAGACCUUCUCUCCGCAGGGGUUUUUCUGGGGCCCUUUGUGGAUAUCAGGACACACAAUAGCAUAGUAACCGCAAUAUAAAAACGGCGGUCUCGAGAUCCCCUGAUCUGCGCAUCUGUGUGACGUAACAUAAUGAUGAUAUUACGGCUUUUCCCCCUAUCUUUCGUUCACGGAUCAAGCAGCUUUAGCUGCAGUUUCUGAUGCCACAAUCGGUAGACCACCCUGAAUAAUCACGCGCGUUACCGCCCGCGGCGAAUGUGCCUGUUGAUUUAUUUAUUCCUUUACUGCUUGCGACAAUUAAUAUUAUUAAAACGAGAGAAUUAUAGC